GAUGAACGCUGGCGGCGUGCCUAAUACAUGCAAGUCGAGCGAACAGAUGAGGAGCUUGCUCCUCUGACGUUAGCGGCGGACGGGUGAGUAACACGUGGAUAACCUACCUAUAAGACUGGGAUAACUUCGGGAAACCGGAGCUAAUACCGGAUAAUAUAUUUAACCGCAUGGUUCAAUAGUGAAAGACGGUUUUGCUGUCACUUAUAGAUGGAUCCGCGCCGCAUUAGCUAGUUGGUAAGGUAACGGCUUACCAAGGCGACGAUGCGUAGCCGACCUGAGAGGGUGAUCAGCCACACUGGAACUGAGACACGGUCCAGACUCCUACGGGAGGCAGCGGUAGGGAAUCUUCCGCAAUGGGAGAAAGCCUGACGGAGCAACGCCGCGUGAGUGAUGAAGGUCUUCGGAUCGUAAAACUCUGUUAUUAGGGAAGAACAAAUGUGUAAGUAACUAUGCACGUCUUGACGGUACCUAAUCAGAAAGCCACGGCUAACUACGUG
This 497-nucleotide ribosomal RNA is filed under the name uncultured bacterium. Its description in RNAcentral is "partial 16S ribosomal RNA". It matches the Rfam family "Bacterial small subunit ribosomal RNA", at positions 28 to 507 of the family's 1533-position model. The record is from RNAcentral.